AACUAAAAACAUUUGUCAACAAGCAAUUCCUAAUUCUAUUCUCAUCUCAUCUCAUCUCAUCUAAUCUCAAACUCACAUUAACCCUCUCAAAUCCUCCACCACCCUCACAAACCCUCCUCUCAUCGCCAACCUUGCUGCCGUUCCUGUCGUUGCUGCUGCCAUUUCCGUCGCUGCUGCCGUUCCCGUCGCUGUUGCUGCUGUUCCCGUUGCUGCCAUUGCCGUUCCCGUUGCUGCCAUUGCCGUCGCCCUUGCUGCAGUCGUCGUCGCCCUAGCUGCAGUCGCCUCCACCCUUGCUGCCGUCGUUUUCAGCCGCUGCUCCAGUCUUCUCAGCCGUUGCUGCCGUCUUCUCAGGCUUGCUUGAACUUGCAGAUGGAUAGGAGUGAGGCACCUUCUGAUACGAUAUUCACUUUCUGGUGCAGGACUUCUAACUGUUCAUCAUAAGCUUAGAGAAGCUAAAAUUCACGUGAGAAUGAGAACCCAGAUCUUGAAAUCUGUUUUAAAACACCCAUUUAUGGUAUCUAUUACUGUAAGAUCUAAAACAACCUCAGGUCAGUAUGUAGCAUCAAGAUCUAGAGAUCCUACAUUUGAAAAACUAAUGGAAAAGUAUAAAAACCUUGUCAAAGUCAUUGCCAUUCAAGACCUCAUUCUCGCAAAUCCCACCAACAGCCCUCCAUCAGUAUCUGUUGAUUUCCUCUCUAGACUCUCCCAGAAGCUUCACCUCAACCGUGGUGCAGCCUCUUUCCUCCGCAGAUACCCUCACAUUUUCAACAUCUUCUAUAACUCCACCUUGUCUCAACCCUUUUGCAGAUUAACUGACAUUGCUCUCCAAAUUUCCUGUCAAGAAGCAGAGAGUAUAAAAGCUUGCUUGCCAGUUGUUGUUGAUCACUUGGUUCGGCUUUUAUCAAUGUCCACAUCCAAAUCUUUGCCACUUCGUGCCAUCUUCAAGGUUUGGAGGGAGUUAGGGCUUCCUGAUGAUUUUGAGGACUCUCUGAUAUCCCAAAAUCCGCAUCUAUUUAGACUGUGUGAUGCCCAUGAGCCCAAUACACAUAUUUUGAAACUAGUGGAGGAAAUUCCUGACAACCAUUUCUCGGCAGCAGUUGAUAUUUGGCGGGUCACUGAGUGCUGUAAGGAGGAUUGCAGUGUUGAUAGAACAGAAAUUCAAUUCAGUUUCAAACAUCAGUAUCCUCCUGGAAUGAGGGUGAGCAAGAAUUUCAGGGCUAAGGUCAAGGAAUGGCAGAGAUUGCCAUACAUAGGGCCCUAUGAGAAGAUGGGAGAGAAUAAGAGGUCUAAAGCAGGAAUGAUGGGAUUGGAGAAGCGAUCAGUGGCAAUUGUGCAUGAAUUCUUGAGUUUGACAGUGGAGAAGAUGGUGGAAGUGGAGAAGAUCAGCCAUUUUAGGAAAAGUUUUGGAAUUGAUUUAAACAUAAGAGACAUGUUCUUGGAUCAUCCAGGCAUAUUUUAUUUGUCUACAAAGGGGAAGAGACAUACAGUUUUUCUCAGGGAAGCAUAUGAGAGGGGUCGCUUAAUUGAUCCUAAUCCGGUAUAUGAUGUUAGGAGAAAACUUCUUGAUCUUGUCAUUCUGGGUCGCCGUAGUCUGCUUGUUAAUAAAUCAAAUCCUGGUGAAACUAGACAGGGUGAAGAGUGUGGAUUACAAAAUGAGAUUAAUGACUGACGUAAUGAAUUGUCAUCUGUUACUUCUCUACCAAUAAUCACUGACUUGUUUCAUUUGCAUGGAUUGCACAUAUCACUUGGGUUGCAUGGCUAUGCUUGUCUUGAUUAGGCUUUUAUGAUGAAGAGAUAAGAAUCUGACAGGACAAAAAUGGCCUGAAUUAGAAGCAGUGCACAUCUCUGGAAUCUAACAUUUCUGGCCCCAAUGCUUCUGUUACUGCUACACCAAUAGCUGACAAAGUUGAGGGACUCCUCGACUACAGAGGUCUCCAGUGCACUAGACAAUCUCAUGUGGAUGGAAAUCAGUUAUCAUUACAGCGGAGCGUUGCAGCCACACGCUUUCUCUAGCGGCGGUGGAGCAGGAAGCUUGUUUCUCUGCAGCUUCUUUCUGACUAGGGAAGUUCUUAGUUAUUGGGCCAUCGUGGGCAAGUUUCAAAUGCAUGUAGGCCAUGUACCGUUUAAUUGCAGUCUUUUCUGAACUCCUAUUUUUCAUCUCUUGUAAUGUUUGGGUCCUAACCCUUUUUCAAUGAAAUUCUUCUUUUGAUAAAAAAAAAAAAAAAAAAAAGAGAACAAGUGCUUGUUCUUAGAGGCUGUUUCCACUGAUUAUCAUGUAUGUUCAUUUCUUCAUAUAUAAGUAUUGUUGUUGCAAUAA
Molecule: RNA transcript, 2317 nt
Organism: Ricinus communis (castor bean)
Lineage: Eukaryota; Viridiplantae; Streptophyta; Magnoliopsida; Malpighiales; Euphorbiaceae
Gene name: protein ROOT PRIMORDIUM DEFECTIVE 1
Exons: 3
Source: RefSeq, a predicted model, not a curated record